AGUGAACGCUGGCGGUAGGCCUAACACAUGCAAGUCGAACGGCAGCACAGUAAGAGCUUGCUCUUACGGGUGGCGAGUGGCGGACGGGUGAGGAAUACAUCGGAAUCUACUUUUUCGUGGGGGAUAACGUAGGGAAACUUACGCUAAUACCGCAUACGACCUACGGGUGAAAGCAGGGGAUCUUCGGACCUUGCGCGAUUGAAUGAGCCGAUGUCGGAUUAGCCAGUUGGCGGGGUAAAGGCCCACCAAGGCGACGAUCCGUAGCUGGUCUGAGAGGAUGAUCAGCCACACUGGAACUGAGACACGGUCCAGACUCCUACGGGAGGCAGCAGUGGGGAAUAUUGGACAAAGGGCGCAAGCCUGAUCCAGCCAUACCGCGUGGGUGAAGAAGGCCUUCGGGUUGUAAAGCCCUUUUGUUGGGAAAGAAAAGCAGCAGGUUAAUACCCCGCUGUUCUGACGGUACCCAAAGAAUAAGCACCGGCUAACUUCGUG
This 492-nucleotide ribosomal RNA is filed under the name uncultured bacterium. Its description in RNAcentral is "partial 16S ribosomal RNA". It matches the Rfam family "Bacterial small subunit ribosomal RNA", at positions 29 to 507 of the family's 1533-position model. The record is from RNAcentral.